UCAAGUCAUCAUGGCCCUUAUGUCCAGGGCGACACACGUGCUACAAUGGCCGGUACAGAGGGAAGCGAAACUGAGAAGUAGAGCGGAUCCCUACAAAGCCGGUCGCAGUUCGGAUUGAGGUCUGCAACUCGACCUCAUGAAGCUGGAAUCGCUAGUAAUCGCAGAUCAGCCAAGCUGCGGUGAAUACGUUCCCGGGCCUU
This 200-nucleotide ribosomal RNA is filed under the name uncultured prokaryote. Its description in RNAcentral is "partial 16S ribosomal RNA". It matches the Rfam family "Bacterial small subunit ribosomal RNA", at positions 1185 to 1382 of the family's 1533-position model. The record is from RNAcentral.